RNAcentral lists this ribosomal RNA (207 nucleotides) under uncultured bacterium. RNAcentral's name for it is "partial 16S ribosomal RNA". It matches the Rfam family "Bacterial small subunit ribosomal RNA", at positions 568 to 774 of the family's 1533-position model. The record is from RNAcentral.
CUCGUAGGCGGCUUGUCGCGUCGUCCGUGAAAACCCGGGGCUCAACUCCGGGCUUGCGGGCGAUACGGGCAGGCUAGAGUUCGGUAGGGGAGACUGGAAUUCCUGGUGUAGCGGUGAAAUGCGCAGAUAUCAGGAGGAACACCGGUGGCGAAGGCGGGUCUCUGGGCCGAUACUGACGCUGAGGAGCGAAAGCGUGGGGAGCGAACA